GUAGGUGAACCUGCGGAGGGAUCAUUACAAGAACGCCCGGGCUUCGGCCCGGUUAUUCAUAAUUUUUUGUUGUCCGACUCUGUUGCCUCUGGGGCGAUUUUGUUUUUGGGCGGGGGCUUUGGGUGGACACUUCAAACUCUUGCGUAACUUUGCAGUCUGAGUAAACUAAAUUAAUAAAUUAAAACUUUUAACAACGGAUUUCUUGGUUCUG
This 211-nucleotide unclassified non-coding RNA is filed under the name rhizosphere metagenome. RNAcentral's name for it is "partial ribosomal RNA internal transcribed spacer region". The record is from RNAcentral.